Molecule: ribosomal RNA, 442 nt
Filed under: uncultured bacterium
Lineage: Bacteria
Description: partial 16S ribosomal RNA
Rfam family: Bacterial small subunit ribosomal RNA
Source: RNAcentral
CCUACGGGUGGCAGCAGUGAGGAAUAUUGGUCAAUGGACGAGAGUCUGAACCAGCCAAGUAGCGUGAAGGAAGAAGGCUUUCGGGUUGUAAACUUCUUUUAAGAGGGAAGAGCAGAAGACGGUACCUCUUGAAUAAGCCACGGCUAACUACGUGCCAGCAGCCGCGGUAAUACGUAGGUGGCAAGCGUUGUCCGGAUUUACUGGGUGUAAAGGGCGUGUAGCCGGGCUGACAAGUCAGAUGUGAAAUCCGGGGGCUCAACCCCCGAACGGCAUUUGAAACUGUUGGUCUUGAGUAUCGGAGAGGCAGGCGGAAUUCCUAGUGUAGCAGUGAAAUGCGUAGAUAUUAGGAGGAACACCAGUGGCGAAGGCGGCCUGCUGGACGACAACUGACGGUGAGGCGCGAAAGCGUGGGGAGCAAACAGGAUUAGAUACCCCAGUAGUC